AUGAGGGCUUGUCAUUUUGGAUGGCCAAACGUAUAUACAUUCACGAAGGCAAUGGGGGAAAUAUUACUUGGUCAAUACAAAGGGGAGCUUCCGAUUGUCAUUAUUAGACCCACCAUGGUCACAAGCACUUUUCAAGAUCCAUUUCCUGGAUGGAUUGAAGGAACGAGGACAAUUGACGCUCUGAUUGUCGCCUACGAUGAGCAAGCACUGCCAUGUUUUCUAGGUGAUCGUAAUGACAUAAUUGAUUUGGUGAGUAAUACAAGAAAUAAUUAUAUUUGUCCCCCUGCUUGUAAAUUCUUUUACUCUGAACUAAUGAAUUUGGACAUUGCUUUUUAA
Molecule: ribosomal RNA, 336 nt
Filed under: Triticum aestivum (bread wheat)
Lineage: Eukaryota; Viridiplantae; Streptophyta; Magnoliopsida; Poales; Poaceae
Description: partial small subunit ribosomal RNA
Source: RNAcentral